RNAcentral lists this ribosomal RNA (850 nucleotides) under Ichnusotricha berninii. RNAcentral describes it as "partial 16S ribosomal RNA". Lineage: Eukaryota; Metazoa; Mollusca; Gastropoda; Stylommatophora; Hygromiidae. The record is from RNAcentral.
AUAUAUUAAAAUUAUUAAAAAUUAAAAUUCACGAAAUUAGACGAGCUAAAAAUUUAUGUUUAUUAGAAUUAAAGAACAACUGUAACAUUAGUUGUUUAUUAUAGAUUUUUAGGAGUGAAAGGCUUCUCAAGUCUAAUGAUAGCUUGAUAAUUAGAAAAUAUAUUUAGUAUAAUAUCAAAUUAAAAAUGUUAAGGUUUUUAAUUUUUAUAAUUUUUUUUGAUAAUAAAUAUUUAAUUGGUUAAUACUUUAAAUGUGAAUAACAUAAUAUUUAUUAAAAUUUUAAUGUAUUAAAUACUAAUUAUUUUAAAAUAAUUUUAUAUUAAGUUUUUAAUGUAUAUAUUAGUAUAUUUUUAUUUUAAAAAAAGGAACUCGACAAAAAACCUUCUCAUCUGUUUACCAAAAACAAGCUCUAAGAGAGCAUUUAGAGUAUUUUCUGCUCAAUGGUUCACUAAAUAGCCGCAGUAUCUUGACUGUGCAAAGGUAGCAUAAUCAAUUGGCUUAUAAUUGAAGUCUAGUAUGAAUGGAAUAAUGGGGAGUCAUUGUCUUUAUUUAAUAUUUUAAACUUUCUAAUUAAGUGAAAAUUCUUAAGAAUAUAUAAAAGACGAGAAGACCCUAGAAAUUUUUAUAAAUUUAUUAAUCAAUUAUUUUGUUGGGGCGACAAAGUAACAAAUAACUUACUUUAAAUAUUAGAAACUAAUUAGUAGUAUAAAUAAAUUACUCUAGGGAUAACAGCAUAAUUUUUUUUUAAAGAUUGUGACCUCGAUGUUGGACUAGGAAAUUUUUUUUUCAGAAGAAAAAAACAUUUGCUCUGUUCGAGCAAUUUUUCCUACAUGAUCUGAGUUCAGACCGG